Molecule: ribosomal RNA, 301 nt
Filed under: uncultured bacterium
Lineage: Bacteria
Description: partial 16S ribosomal RNA
Rfam family: Bacterial small subunit ribosomal RNA
Source: RNAcentral
CAGCCACGGUAAUACAGAGGGUGCGAGCGUUAAUCGGAUUUACUGGGCGUAAAGCGUGCGUAGGCGGCUUUUUAAGUCGGAUGUGAAAUCCCUGAGCUUAACUUAGGAAUUGCAUUCGAUACUGGGAAGCUAGAGUAUGGGAGAGGAUGGUAGAAUUCCAGGUGUAGCGGUGAAAUGCGUAGAGAUCUGGAGGAAUACCGAUGGCGAAGGCAGCCAUCUGGCCUAAUACUGACGCUGAGGUACGAAAGCAUGGGGAGCAAACAGGAUUAGAUACCCGAGUAGUCCCUGUCUCUUAUACACA